GAUAAUAGCUCAGUGGAAAAGCUUAUGCUUUGCAUGCAUAACUUCCCAGGUUCAAUUCCUGGCAACUCCU
Molecule: non-coding RNA, 70 nt
Organism: Podarcis lilfordi (Lilford's wall lizard)
Lineage: Eukaryota; Metazoa; Chordata; Lepidosauria; Squamata; Lacertidae
Source: the annotation of a GenBank genome assembly